This 857-nucleotide ribosomal RNA is filed under the name uncultured bacterium. Its description in RNAcentral is "bacterial SSU rRNA". It matches the Rfam family "Bacterial small subunit ribosomal RNA", at positions 52 to 902 of the family's 1533-position model. The record is from RNAcentral.
CACAUGCAAGUCGAGGGGCAGCAUGAACUUAGCUUGCUAAGUUUGAUGGCGACCGGCGCACGGGUGAGUAACACGUAUCCAACCUGCCGAUGACUCGGGGAUAGCCUUUCGAAAGAAAGAUUAAUACCCGAUGGCAUAGUUCUUCCGCAUGGUGGAACUAUUAAAGAAUUUCGGUCAUCGAUGGGGAUACGUUCCAUUAGGUUGUUGGCGGGGUAACGGCCCACCAAGCCUUCGAUGGAUAGGGGUUCUGAGAGGAAGGUCCCCCACAUUGGAACUGAGACACGGUCCAAACUCCUACGGGAGGCAGCAGUGAGGAAUAUUGGUCAAUGGACGAGAGUCUGAACCAGCCAAGUAGCGUGAAGGAUGACUGCCCUAUGGGUUGUAAACUUCUUUUAUACGGGAAUAAAGUGAGGCACGUGUGCCUUUUUGUAUGUACCGUAUGAAUAAGGAUCGGCUAACUCCGUGCCAGCAGCCGCGGUAAUACGGAGGAUCCGAGCGUUAUCCGGAUUUAUUGGGUUUAAAGGGAGCGUAGGCGGACGCUUAAGUCAGUUGUGAAAGUUUGCGGCUCAACCGUAAAAUUGCAGUUGAUACUGGGUGUCUUGAGUACAGUAGAGGCAGGCGGAAUUCGUGGUGUAGCGGUGAAAUGCUUAGAUAUCACGAAGAACUCCGAUUGCGAAGGCAGCUUGCUGGACUGUAACUGACGCUGAUGCUCGAAAGUGUGGGUAUCAAACAGGAUUAGAUACCCUGGUAGUCCACACAGUAAACGAUGAAUACUCGCUGUUUGCGAUAUACAGUAAGCGGCCAAGCGAAAGCGUUAAGUAUUCCACCUGGGGAGUACGCCGGCAACGGUGAAACUC